This 233-nucleotide ribosomal RNA is filed under the name Staphylococcus aureus. RNAcentral describes it as "partial 23S ribosomal RNA". It matches the Rfam family "Bacterial large subunit ribosomal RNA", at positions 1 to 230 of the family's 2925-position model. The record is from RNAcentral. Lineage: Bacteria; Bacillati; Bacillota; Bacilli; Caryophanales; Staphylococcaceae.
AGAUUAAGUUAUUAAGGGCGCACGGUGGAUGCCUUGGCACUAGAAGCCGAUGAAGGACGUUACUAACGACGAUAUGCUUUGGGGAGCUGUAAGUAAGCUUUGAUCCAGAGAUUUCCGAAUGGGGAAACCCAGCAUGAGUUAUGUCAUGUUAUCGAUAUGUGAAUACAUAGCAUAUCAGAAGGCACACCCGGAGAACUGAAACAUCUUAGUACCCGGAGGAAGAGAAAGAAAAU